UGGGGAAUAUUGCACAAUGGGCGCAAGCCUGAUGCAGCCAUGCCGCGUGUAUGAAGAAGGCCUUCGGGUUGUAAAGUACUUUCAGCGAGGAGGAAGGCGGUAAGGUUAAUAACCUUAUCGAUUGACGUUACUCGCAGAAGAAGCACCGGCUAACUCCGUGCCAGCAGCCGCGGUAAUACGGAGGGUGCAAGCGUUAAUCGGAAUUACUGGGCGUAAAGCGCACGCAGGCGGUCUGUCAAGUCGGAUGUGAAAUCCCCGGGCUCAACCUGGGAACUGCAUUCGAAGCUGGCAGGCUAGAGUCUUGUAGAGGGGGGUAGAAUUCCAGGUGUAGCGGUGAAAUGCGUAGAGAUCUGGAGGAAUACCGGUGGCGAAGGCGGCCCCCUGGACAAAGACUGACGCUCAGGUGCGAAAGCGUGGGGAGCAAACA
This 427-nucleotide ribosomal RNA is filed under the name uncultured bacterium. RNAcentral's name for it is "partial 16S ribosomal RNA". It matches the Rfam family "Bacterial small subunit ribosomal RNA", at positions 355 to 774 of the family's 1533-position model. The record is from RNAcentral.